This is a long non-coding RNA of Gallus gallus (chicken), 9160 nucleotides long. RefSeq lists it as uncharacterized. The record is from RefSeq and is a predicted model, not a curated record. NCBI's taxonomy places the organism in Eukaryota, Metazoa, Chordata, Aves, Galliformes, Phasianidae. The transcript is spliced from 7 exons.
CGCCCCGCUGCCUGGCUGCUGAGAGUUGCUCCUGCCGCUGGGGGGGAAACCGAGCUCUGUGGCUCCAGGGGUGUUGUCCACCCGCCUGUAAUCAGGGUCUGGGUGCGUGAGCGUUUGUGCUCUGCUGGCAGCCUGUGUGGGGUGACCGCCCCGCUAGCGGGGUGUGGGUCGAGGUGCCCCGGACUGGGAGAGAAGGAGCCUCCCUCGGCCGUAGGGAUGGGGGCUGCCCUGUAAGUCAGGGAGCAUCUGUGUCCCGGAGUCCCAGGCCCUUUUCAAUGGCGGCAGUGGCCGGGGGUCCCCUGUAAGCAGGGAAGCUGACUCUUUGGCUGCUGCUUUUUGUGUGCCCAGCCCCAUUUGCCCAGUCUGCCCGCCUCUGUGAUCCCCCGCAGCACUGGCUGGAAGUCCGCCGCGUGUCAGUGAGGAGCUGCUGCAGAAGGAAGAAGAAGAAGCAGCGUGGGACCUGGGAGGCAGGAGCAAGCAAGAAGAGGAAGCGGAAGCGUGCAGAUGCGGGGGGGAAGGAGAGAGGCUCCCUGGGCAAAGCACCUGUCCCGUUAGCAGGGGCACAGUCACGUUUGAGUUGAGAGCUGCCGGCGCCUUUGGUGACCAGGCUGGCGUUGUGCUGGGCGACCUCCCCGUAAGCGGGGCUCGGGUCUUUGCUGUAGUUGGCCUUUUGCCUUGCUGCUCCUUUGGCUGCCUGGGGAGCGUGGCCCCCUGUAACGGAGGGCGAGAGCCACCUCUCCGCACCUGAGUGGGAAAUGGAGCUCGCCGGACCCCAAGGCCACCCUGUAAGCAGGGUAGUGCCGUUUCCCUGCCCCUCUUCCUCCCCCGGCCCCUCGGCAUCGUUGCCUGAUGGUGGCUUGUCAAUGCGACGGCCCCGUACUCGGGGUGUGCGUCACGGCAUUUGGCCGUUGGCUUUAUCUGAGAAGCCCCUUGGCACGUUGAGGUCCGUGGCCUCCGUGCAGCCUAGGGACAGGUCACAGGCUCUUGUCUGUUGCCCGUGGUUGUGGGUUUAUUCCCAGGUGUUGGCUGUGCUGCGUUGUCCUUCCCUUCUGGAAAGUUGUGCCUGUGUGUGCGUGUUCCCCUUCCUUUCCUUGUUUGUGUUUGUGGAGUGGUUGAGCGGCUGUGCUUUCCCUUUAGGCCUCCACAAAGAUGGCUGCAGCUUAGCUUUGACUUCCCAGGGGGGAAUGGAGGACUUUGGUGCAUGCCGCAAAAGGGGUGUUCCCUCUUAGUCCUGCGAGCGCAGCGAGUGUCCUGUCUUCCUACUAUUUUCCUUAGUGCAGAUCAGAGCCACACGGUAGUUCUGUGGCCAAGGCCUCCCUGUAGCCAGGGCUUGGGCCUGUCCUUGCGUGGCCGCCUGUCCUGCUGGCGGCGGUGACAGCCCCGUACUCGGGGUGUGUGUCCCAAGCUUUGGAGCCCUCUGUCCCUGAGCAGCCCGCCCGCCCUGUAAUCAGGUGUGGGGAGGCUGCAGCGUUGCAGCCGGCUGCUUUAGCCAUCCAGCUGGUGGGAGUGACCCCUCCCUGUCCCGUCAGAGGGUGCAGGUUGAGGUGCUGUUUGUGUGUGGGGUGACCUCCCCGCUCGGUGGGUCGAGGUAGCUCCCUGGGCUUCCAAAGACGAGGCGUUGGUGAUGUUCUGCUGCUGCCGGGCGGGCCAGCCUGUAACUCAGGCGUUGGCGGGAGCCUCGUGCUCCGCGGGGCUUCUUGAAGAGGGUGAGGUGUGGGGGUACCGUCCUGUAGGCAGGGCUGUGUGUGCCCCCCGUGUGUGCUUGGUGAGCUGCGUUCUGAGAGACCCCCUGUACUCAGGUGGGAAUGUGGCCCCGGCCUUUCAGAGGCGCGGGGCCGUGAGAUGUGGGGUGGGGCUUGCGCCCUCCCUGGAAUCGGGGCUGGGAUCCCGACUGCGGCCUUUGGCCGUGCCGCCCCGCUGCCUGGCUGCUGAGAGUUGCUCCUGCCGCUGGGGGGGAAACCGAGCUCUGUGGCUCCAGGGGUGUUGUCCACCCGCCUGUAAUCAGGGUCUGGGUGCGUGAGCGUUUGUGCUCUGCUGGCAGCCUGUGUGGGGUGACCGCCCCGCUAGCGGGGUGUGGGUCGAGGUGCCCCGGACUGGGAGAGAAGGAGCCUCCCUCGGCCGUAGGGAUGGGGGCUGCCCUGUAAGUCAGGGAGCAUCUGUGUCCCGGAGUCCCAGGCCCUUUUCAAUGGCGGCAGUGGCCGGGGGUCCCCUGUAAGCAGGGAAGCUGACUCUUUGGCUGCUGCUUUUUGUGUGCCCAGCCCCAUUUGCCCAGUCUGCCCGCCUCUGUGAUCCCCCGCAGCACUGGCUGGAAGUCCGCCGCGUGUCAGUGAGGAGCUGCUGCAGAAGGAAGAAGAAGAAGCGGCGUGGGACCUGGGAGGCAGGAGCAAGCAAGAAGAGGAAGCGGAAGCGUGCAGAUGCGGGGGGGAAGGAGAGAGGCUCCCUGGGCAAAGCACCUGUCCCGUUAGCAGGGGCACAGUCACGUUUGAGUUGAGAGCUGCCGGCGCCUUUGGUGACCAGGCUGGCGUUGUGCUGGGCGACCUCCCCGUAAGCGGGGCUCGGGUCUUUGCUGUAGUUGGCCUUUUGCCUUGCUGCUCCUUUGGCUGCCUGGGGAGCGUGGCCCCCUGUAACGGAGGGCGAGAGCCACCUCUCCGCACCUGAGUGGGAAAUGGAGCUCGCCGGACCCCAAGGCCACCCUGUAAGCAGGGUAGUGCCGUUUCCCUGCCCCUCUUCCUCCCCCGGCCCCUCGGCAUCGUUGCCUGAUGGUGGCUUGUCAAUGCGACGGCCCCGUACUCGGGGUGUGUGUCCCAAGCUUUGGAGCCCUCUGUCCCUGAGCAGCCCGCCCGCCCUGUAAUCAGGUGUGGGGAGGCUGCAGCGUUGCAGCCGGCUGCUUUAGCCAUCCAGCUGGUGGGAGUGACCCCUCCCUGUCCCGUCAGAGGGUGCAGGUUGAGGUGCUGUUUGUGUGUGGGGUGACCUCCCCGCUCGGUGGGUCGAGGUAGCUCCCUGGGCUUCCAAAGACGAGACGUUGGUGAUGUUCUGCUGCUGCCGGGCGGGCCAGCCUGUAACUCAGGCGUUGGCGGGAGCCUCGUGCUCCGCGGGGCUUCUUGAAGAGGGUGAGGUGUGGGGGUACCGUCCUGUAGGCAGGGCUGUGUGUGCCCCCCGUGUGUGCUUGGUGAGCUGCGUUCUGAGAGACCCCCUGUACUCAGGUGGGAAUGUGGCCCCGGCCUUUCAGAGGCGCGGGGCCGUGAGAUGCGGGGUGGGGCUUGCGCCCUCCCUGGAAUCGGGGCUGGGAUCCCGACUGCGGCCUUUGGCCGUGCCGCCCCGCUGCCUGGCUGCUGAGAGUUGCUCCUGCCGCUGGGGGGGAAACCGAGCUCUGUGGCUCCAGGGGUGUUGUCCACCCGCCUGUAAUCAGGGUCUGGGUGCGUGAGCGUUUGUGCUCUGCUGGCAGCCUGUGUGGGGUGACCGCCCCGCUAGCGGGGUGUGGGUCGAGGUGCCCCGGACUGGGAGAGAAGGAGCCUCCCUCGGCCGUAGGGAUGGGGGCUGCCCUGUAAGUCAGGGAGCAUCUGUGUCCCGGAGUCCCAGGCCCUUUUCAAUGGCGGCAGUGGCCGGGGGUCCCCUGUAAGCAGGGAAGCUGACUCUUUGGCUGCUGCUUUUUGUGUGCCCAGCCCCAUUUGCCCAGUCUGCCCGCCUCUGUGAUCCCCCGCAGCACUGGCUGGAAGUCCGCCGCGUGUCAGUGAGGAGCUGCUGCAGAAGGAAGAAGAAGAAGCGGCGUGGGGACCUGGGAGGCAGGAGCAAGCAAGAAGAGGAAGCGGAAGCGUGCAGAUGCGGGGGGGAAGGAGAGAGGCUCCCUGGGCAAAGCACCUGUCCCGUUAGCAGGGGCACAGUCACGUUUGAGUUGAGAGCUGCCGGCGCCUUUGGUGACCAGGCUGGCGUUGUGCUGGGCGACCUCCCCGUAAGCGGGGCUCGGGUCUUUGCUGUAGUUGGCCUUUUGCCUUGCUGCUCCUUUGGCUGCCUGGGGAGCGUGGCCCCCUGUAACGGAGGGCGAGAGCCACCUCUCCGCACCUGAGUGGGAAAUGGAGCUCGCCGGACCCCAAGGCCACCCUGUAAGCAGGGUAGUGCCGUUUCCCUGCCCCUCUUCCUCCCCCGGCCCCUCGGCAUCGUUGCCUGAUGGUGGCUUGUCAAUGCGACGGCCCCGUACUCGGGGUGUGCGUCACGGCAUUUGGCCGUUGGCUUUAUCUGAGAAGCCCCUUGGCACGUUGAGGUCCGUGGCCUCCGUGCAGCCUAGGGACAGGUCACAGGCUCUUGUCUGUUGCCCGUGGUUGUGGGUUUAUUCCCAGGUGUUGGCUGUGCUGCGUUGUCCUUCCCUUCUGGAAAGUCGUGCCUGUGUGUGCGUGUUCCCCUUCCUUUCCUUGUUUGUGUUUGUGGAGUGGUUGAGCGGCUGUGCUUUCCCUUUAGGCCUCCACAAAGAUGGCUGCAGCUUAGCUUUGACUUCCCAGGGGGGAAUGGAGGACUUUGGUGCAUGCCGCAAAAGGGGUGUUCCCUCUUAGUCCUGCGAGCGCAGCGAGUGUCCUGUCUUCCUACUAUUUUCCUUAGUGCAGAUCAGAGCCACACGGUAGUUCUGUGGCCAAGGCCUCCCUGUAGCCAGGGCUUGGGCCUGUCCUUGCGUGGCCGCCUGUCCUGCUGGCGGCGGUGACAGCCCCGUACUCGGGGUGUGUGUCCCAAGCUUUGGAGCCCUCUGUCCCUGAGCAGCCCGCCCGCCCUGUAAUCAGGUGUGGGGAGGCUGCAGCGUUGCAGCCGGCUGCUUUAGCCAUCCAGCUGGUGGGAGUGACCCCUCCCUGUCCCGUCAGAGGGUGCAGGUUGAGGUGCUGUUUGUGUGUGGGGUGACCUCCCCGCUCGGUGGGUCGAGGUAGCUCCCUGGGCUUCCAAAGACGAGACGUUGGUGAUGUUCUGCUGCUGCCGGGCGGGCCAGCCUGUAACUCAGGCGUUGGCGGGAGCCUCGUGCUCCGCGGGGCUUCUUGAAGAGGGUGAGGUGUGGGGGUACCGUCCUGUAGGCAGGGCUGUGUGUGCCCCCCGUGUGUGCUUGGUGAGCUGCGUUCUGAGAGACCCCCUGUACUCAGGUGGGAAUGUGGCCCCGGCCUUUCAGAGGCGCGGGGCCGUGAGAUGCGGGGUGGGGCUUGCGCCCUCCCUGGAAUCGGGGCUGGGAUCCCGACUGCGGCCUUUGGCCGUGCCGCCCCGCUGCCUGGCUGCUGAGAGUUGCUCCUGCCGCUGGGGGGGAAACCGAGCUCUGUGGCUCCAGGGGUGUUGUCCACCCGCCUGUAAUCAGGGUCUGGGUGCGUGAGCGUUUGUGCUCUGCUGGCAGCCUGUGUGGGGUGACCGCCCCGCUAGCGGGGUGUGGGUCGAGGUGCCCCGGACUGGGAGAGAAGGAGCCUCCCUCGGCCGUAGGGAUGGGGGCUGCCCUGUAAGUCAGGGAGCAUCUGUGUCCCGGAGUCCCAGGCCCUUUUCAAUGGCGGCAGUGGCCGGGGGUCCCCUGUAAGCAGGGAAGCUGACUCUUUGGCUGCUGCUUUUUGUGUGCCCAGCCCCAUUUGCCCAGUCUGCCCGCCUCUGUGAUCCCCCGCAGCACUGGCUGGAAGUCCGCCGCGUGUCAGUGAGGAGCUGCUGCAGAAGGAAGAAGAAGAAGCAGCGUGGGACCUGGGAGGCAGGAGCAAGCAAGAAGAGGAAGCGGAAGCGUGCAGAUGCGGGGGGGAAGGAGAGAGGCUCCCUGGGCAAAGCACCUGUCCCGUUAGCAGGGGCACAGUCACGUUUGAGUUGAGAGCUGCCGGCGCCUUUGGUGACCAGGCUGGCGUUGUGCUGGGCGACCUCCCCGUAAGCGGGGCUCGGGUCUUUGCUGUAGUUGGCCUUUUGCCUUGCUGCUCCUUUGGCUGCCUGGGGAGCGUGGCCCCCUGUAACGGAGGGCGAGAGCCACCUCUCCGCACCUGAGUGGGAAAUGGAGCUCGCCGGACCCCAAGGCCACCCUGUAAGCAGGGUAGUGCCGUUUCCCUGCCCCUCUUCCUCCCCCGGCCCCUCGGCAUCGUUGCCUGAUGGUGGCUUGUCAAUGCGACGGCCCCGUACUCGGGGUGUGUGUCCCAAGCUUUGGAGCCCUCUGUCCCUGAGCAGCCCGCCCGCCCUGUAAUCAGGUGUGGGGAGGCUGCAGCGUUGCAGCCGGCUGCUUUAGCCAUCCAGCUGGUGGGAGUGACCCCUCCCUGUCCCGUCAGAGGGUGCAGGUUGAGGUGCUGUUUGUGUGUGGGGUGACCUCCCCGCUCGGUGGGUCGAGGUAGCUCCCUGGGCUUCCAAAGACGAGACGUUGGUGAUGUUCUGCUGCUGCCGGGCGGGCCAGCCUGUAACUCAGGCGUUGGCGGGAGCCUCGUGCUCCGCGGGGCUUCUUGAAGAGGGUGAGGUGUGGGGGUACCGUCCUGUAGGCAGGGCUGUGUGUGCCCCCCGUGUGUGCUUGGUGAGCUGCGUUCUGAGAGACCCCCUGUACUCAGGUGGGAAUGUGGCCCCGGCCUUUCAGAGGCGCGGGGCCGUGAGAUGCGGGGUGGGGCUUGCGCCCUCCCUGGAAUCGGGGCUGGGAUCCCGACUGCGGCCUUUGGCCGUGCCGCCCCGCUGCCUGGCUGCUGAGAGUUGCUCCUGCCGCUGGGGGGGAAACCGAGCUCUGUGGCUCCAGGGGUGUUGUCCACCCGCCUGUAAUCAGGGUCUGGGUGCGUGAGCGUUUGUGCUCUGCUGGCAGCCUGUGUGGGGUGACCGCCCCGCUAGCGGGGUGUGGGUCGAGGUGCCCCGGACUGGGAGAGAAGGAGCCUCCCUCGGCCGUAGGGAUGGGGGCUGCCCUGUAAGUCAGGGAGCAUCUGUGUCCCGGAGUCCCAGGCCCUUUUCAAUGGCGGCAGUGGCCGGGGGUCCCCUGUAAGCAGGGAAGCUGACUCUUUGGCUGCUGCUUUUUGUGUGCCCAGCCCCAUUUGCCCAGUCUGCCCGCCUCUGUGAUCCCCCGCAGCACUGGCUGGAAGUCCGCCGCGUGUCAGUGAGGAGCUGCUGCAGAAGGAAGAAGAAGAAGCGGCGUGGGGACCUGGGAGGCAGGAGCAAGCAAGAAGAGGAAGCGGAAGCGUGCAGAUGCGGGGGGGAAGGAGAGAGGCUCCCUGGGCAAAGCACCUGUCCCGUUAGCAGGGGCACAGUCACGUUUGAGUUGAGAGCUGCCGGCGCCUUUGGUGACCAGGCUGGCGUUGUGCUGGGCGACCUCCCCGUAAGCGGGGCUCGGGUCUUUGCUGUAGUUGGCCUUUUGCCUUGCUGCUCCUUUGGCUGCCUGGGGAGCGUGGCCCCCUGUAACGGAGGGCGAGAGCCACCUCUCCGCACCUGAGUGGGAAAUGGAGCUCGCCGGACCCCAAGGCCACCCUGUAAGCAGGGUAGUGCCGUUUCCCUGCCCCUCUUCCUCCCCCGGCCCCUCGGCAUCGUUGCCUGAUGGUGGCUUGUCAAUGCGACGGCCCCGUACUCGGGGUGUGCGUCACGGCAUUUGGCCGUUGGCUUUAUCUGAGAAGCCCCUUGGCACGUUGAGGUCCGUGGCCUCCGUGCAGCCUAGGGACAGGUCACAGGCUCUUGUCUGUUGCCCGUGGUUGUGGGUUUAUUCCCAGGUGUUGGCUGUGCUGCGUUGUCCUUCCCUUCUGGAAAGUUGUGCCUGUGUGUGCGUGUUCCCCUUCCUUUCCUUGAUUGUGUUUGUGGAGUGGUUGAGCGGCUGUGCUUUCCCUUUAGGCCUCCACAAAGAUGGCUGCAGCUUAGCUUUGACUUCCCAGGGGGGAAUGGAGGACUUUGGUGCAUGCCGCAAAAGGGGUGUUCCCUCUUAGUCCUGCGAGCGCAGCGAGUGUCCUGUCUUCCUACUAUUUUCCUUAGUGCAGAUCAGAGCCACACGGUAGUUCUGUGGCCAAGGCCUCCCUGUAGCCAGGGCUUGGGCCUGUCCUUGCGUGGCUGCCUGUCCUGCUGGCGGCGGUGACAGCCCCGUACUCGGGGUGUGUGUCCCAAGCUUUGGAGCCCUCUGUCCCUGAGCAGCCCGCCCGCCCUGUAAUCAGGUGUGGGGAGGCUGCAGCGUUGCAGCCGGCUGCUUUAGCCAUCCAGCUGGUGGGAGUGACCCCUCCCUGUCCCGUCAGAGGGUGCAGGUUGAGGUGCUGUUUGUGUGUGGGGUGACCUCCCCGCUCGGUGGGUCGAGGUAGCUCCCUGGGCUUCCAAAGACGAGGCGUUGGUGAUGUUCUGCUGCUGCCGGGCGGGCCAGCCUGUAACUCAGGCGUUGGCGGGAGCCUCGUGCUCCGCGGGGCUUCUUGAAGAGGGUGAGGUGUGGGGGUACCGUCCUGUAGGCAGGGCUGUGUGUGCCCCCCGUGUGUGCUUGGUGAGCUGCGUUCUGAGAGACCCCCUGUACUCAGGUGGGAAUGUGGCCCCGGCCUUUCAGAGGCGCGGGGCCGUGAGAUGUGGGGUGGGGCUUGCGCCCUCCCUGGAAUCGGGGCUGGGAUCCCGACUGCGGCCUUUGGCCGUGCCGCCCCGCUGCCUGGCUGCUGAGAGUUGCUCCUGCCGCUGGGGGGGAAACCGAGCUCUGUGGCUCCAGGGGUGUUGUCCACCCGCCUGUAAUCAGGGUCUGGGUGCGUGAGCGUUUGUGCUCUGCUGGCAGCCUGUGUGGGGUGACCGCCCCGCUAGCGGGGUGUGGGUCGAGGUGCCCCGGACUGGGAGAGAAGGAGCCUCCCUCGGCCGUAGGGAUGGGGGCUGCCCUGUAAGUCAGGGAGCAUCUGUGUCCCGGAGUCCCAGGCCCUUUUCAAUGGCGGCAGUGGCCGGGGGUCCCCUGUAAGCAGGGAAGCUGACUCUUUGGCUGCUGCUUUUUGUGUGCCCAGCCCCAUUUGCCCAGUCUGCCCGCCUCUGUGAUCCCCCGCAGCACUGGCUGGAAGUCCGCCGCGUGUCAGUGAGGAGCUGCUGCAGAAGAAAGAAGAAGCGGCGUGGGGACCUGGGCUGCAAAAUCAAGAUGGGGUAUCUGUUGACUGUUUUUCUUGUAUUUCUUUGCCUUUUGGAGCCACAGUUUUGAACGGUUUUGUAAGACUUUAUCACUCUUUUUGUCAGCGUCGUCAGCUGUGAAUAAAGUUUUUUUUCCAUGUUGUUUUUCCUGUUA